UACGUAGGGGGCAAGCGUUGUCCGGAAUCAUUGGGCGUAAAGCGCACGUAGGCGGCCCGGUAAGUCCGUUGUGAAAGUCAGGGGCUCAACCUCUGGAGGCCAAUGGAUACUGCCGGGCUAGAGUCCGGAAGAGGCGAGUGGAAUUCCUGGUGUAGCGGUGGAAUGCGCAGAUAUCAAGAGGAACACCUGCGGCGAAGGCGGGUUGCUGGGCCGACACUGACGCUGAAGCGCGAAAGCUAGGGGAGCGAACGGG
This 253-nucleotide ribosomal RNA is filed under the name uncultured bacterium. Its description in RNAcentral is "partial 16S ribosomal RNA". It matches the Rfam family "Bacterial small subunit ribosomal RNA", at positions 524 to 776 of the family's 1533-position model. The record is from RNAcentral.